UACGGGGGGGGCAAGCGUUGUUCGGAAUUACUGGGCGUAAAGGGCUCGUAGGCGGCCAACUAAGUCAGACGUGAAAUCCCUCGGCUUAACCGGGGAACUGCGUCUGAUACUGGAUGGCUUGAGUUUGGGAGAGGGAUGCGGAAUUCCAGGUGUAGCGGUGAAAUGCGUAGAUAUCUGGAGGAACACCGGGGGCGAAGGCGGCAUCCUGGACCAACACUGACGCUGAGUGAGCGAAAGCCAGGGGAGCAAACGGG
This 254-nucleotide ribosomal RNA is filed under the name uncultured bacterium. RNAcentral's name for it is "partial 16S ribosomal RNA". It matches the Rfam family "Bacterial small subunit ribosomal RNA", at positions 524 to 776 of the family's 1533-position model. The record is from RNAcentral.